Molecule: ribosomal RNA, 406 nt
Filed under: uncultured bacterium
Lineage: Bacteria
Description: partial 16S ribosomal RNA
Rfam family: Bacterial small subunit ribosomal RNA
Source: RNAcentral
AUUGAACGCUGGCGGCAGGCCUAACACAUGCAAGUCGUGCGAGCGGCGGACGGGUGAGUAAUGUCUGGGGAUCUGCCCGAUGGAGGGGGAUAACUACUGGAAACGGUAGCUAAUACCGCAUACCAUCAGAUGAACCCAUAUGGGAUUAGCUUGUAGGUGGGGUAACGGCUCACCUAGGCGACGAUCCCUAGCUGGUCUGAGAGGAUGAUCAGGCACACUGGAACUUAGACACGGCCCAGACUCCUACGGAAGGCAGCAGUGGGGAAUAUUGCACGAUGGGCGAAAGCCUGAUGCAGCCAUGCCGCGUGGAUGAAGAAGGCCUUCGGGUUUUAAAGUACUUUCAGUCGGGAUGCGUUACCCACAGAAGAAGCACCGGCUAACUCCGUGCCAGCAGCCGCGGUAAUAC